UAUCUAUUGGAGAUUCAAGGCGUCUAUAAAAAAAAAAAAAUUGUCUCCAAUUUUGGGGGAUUUUCAUACCACUCCAUGACACUGAAAAUUCUUCACAAUUAGUAAAUAAGUUUUGACUAGAGCUGCAACUUAUCAAUUAAUCAACCAAUUAUUUUCAUGAUUAAUUGAAUGUUUUAUCCAUAAAAUGUCAGAAAACACUGAAUUAUACCAGACAAUGAUUUUACAAAUACGUUCAAUUUGCUUGUUUUCAUUGUUCUGCUGUCAUGUGACAAACAAUAGCAACAAAUCCUCUGACUAAUCGAUUAAUCGACGUUUCUCUGUAUCUCUGAGUACUUGUAUGUAAACUUCUGUAUGCAGCACUUGUUUGUCUCUCUCAUGUGGUUUCACUACAUUACCAAUAAGGCACUGAGUGUUUCUGCAGUCCUUAGAUGACAGCAGAGGUCAGCUGAGGUGUCUCACACACAGAGAAGUAAUGAUGGCAGUGACUGAGCCCGGCUGUACCCACCUGCUGCACAUACUGAGGAACCUCUUCCACCUUCUGGAAAGAUGACUCGUUCGGGAAGACUAAGGAGUCAGACAGCAGUCGGUCGCUGCAGGUGGAGUGAGAAGAACAUAUUUGGAGCAUUGUGUGUAGGUUGUGAUCCAGUUCCAUAGAUGCAAGUUCAGCCUAAUGAUCCUCUCUGCAGUAUUUACGACUCCCUGGAGACCCUUUCCAUCAUUUACACCUGUGCUUUUUUUUUUCUCAGAAUGUCCUUUGUGGGCAGGGAAUACUGAAAUUAUGAGUUAUUAUGAUCAUGAAGCUAAAUAAAUAAAUAAAUAAAUAAAAUCUAGUAAGUGGACUUUGA
Molecule: long non-coding RNA, 845 nt
Organism: Epinephelus moara (kelp grouper)
Lineage: Eukaryota; Metazoa; Chordata; Actinopteri; Perciformes; Serranidae
Exons: 3
Source: RefSeq, a predicted model, not a curated record